Molecule: ribosomal RNA, 855 nt
Filed under: uncultured microorganism
Description: bacterial SSU rRNA
Rfam family: Bacterial small subunit ribosomal RNA
Source: RNAcentral
CGCACGGGUGAGUAACGCGUAUGCAACCUACCGAUCACAGAGGAAUAACCCGGAGAAAUUCGGACUAACACCCCAUAGCACUAAAAGUUCGCAUGAACUUUCAGUUAAAUAUUUAUAGGUGAUCGAUGGGCAUGCGUUCCAUUAGCUAGUUGGUAAGGUAACAGCUUACCAAGGCAACGAUGGAUAGGGGUUCUGAGAGGAAGGUCCCCCACACUGGUACUGAGACACGGACCAGACUCCUACGGGAGGCAGCAGUGAGGAAUAUUGGUCAAUGGACGCAAGUCUGAACCAGCCAAGUCGCGUGAAGGACGACUGCCCUAUGGGUUGUAAACUUCUUUUAAUUGGGAAUAAAAUCAGGGAUGUAUCCCUGUUUGCAAGUACCAAAAGAAUAAGCAUCGGCUAACUCCGUGCCAGCAGCCGCGGUAAUACGGAGGAUGCGAGCGUUAUCCGGAUUUAUUGGGUUUAAAGGGUGCGUAGGCGGUAUUAUAAGUCAGCGGUGAAAGUUUGAGGCUCAACCUUAAAAUUGCCGUUGAAACUGUAGCACUAGAGUGUAAAUGAGGUAAGCGGAAUGCGUGGUGUAGCGGUGAAAUGCAUAGAUAUCACGCAGAACUCCAAUUGCGAAGGCAGCUUACUAGCAUACAACUGACGCUCAAGCACGAAAGCGUGGGUAUCAAACAGGAUUAGAUACCCUGGUAGUCCACGCUGUAAACGAUGAAUACUAACUGUUUGCGAUACACAGUAAGCGGUACAGCGAAAGCGUUAAGUAUUCCACCUGGGGAGUACGCCGGCAACGGUGAAACUCAAAGGAAUUGACGGGGGCCCGCACAGCGGAGGAACGUGUGGUUUAAUUCGAUG